This 1355-nucleotide long non-coding RNA is filed under the name Mus spicilegus (steppe mouse). RNAcentral describes it as "lncRNA (ENSMSIG00000017275.1)". Lineage: Eukaryota; Metazoa; Chordata; Mammalia; Rodentia; Muridae. The record is from RNAcentral.
CCAGAUUUGCACAGCAGGUCCAAGAUCCUGGCUUCAGGCAGCAGCUCGCUGCUCAGUCUUAUAUCACACAAAAGAGCUUUGCCCAGGCGCGUCGCCCGCUCUUUUCAUCCAAUCAUCUCCUGACAGGCAGUCUGGAAAGAAAGCGUACUCAUAUUGAUUCCGAAGGCACAAUUGGAACUCCGGCAUUUUCUUCUGGGCUCUGGGGUCGAGACGAAGGGGUUGGCAGUGCUGGCUGGGAAGCAAAGGAACAGCAGACACACAGGAGCUGAAGUGACAGUAAAUGAAGCUGCGGUCUUCAGGCUUAGGUGGAGUCGGGCGUUCUGCGCAUCUGUACCUCUGACAAAUGGAUUUGGUCCUCAGUUCCAGCCAUCAUCUGAUUUCAAGUUUGGUUACCUAGGAAACAGAGGGCACACUGCUGGGACAGUCAGCCCGUGUUCUGUGCCGACCAAAGCUAUUAAAACCCAUCAAGUCAGCCUCGGAGAAGCUGAGCACGGACAGUUUCAACUUCCAGCCAGCAGGAUCACCAGAAUGUCCUCAAGAGGAGACAGCUCUCCAAAAAAUGUGAGAAAGAAAGAAGCCAGAAUCUUCUACAGCCCAGUCUUGUAAGAGGCUCUUGGGUGUGUGUCUGUGCAACAACAGAUAGAAAUUAAAUUGAGAAAUUGCUUCUGAGUGGAAUAUGCCUGGACACUUCCUUGCCAUUAUUAUCCAAACAAUGUAACAACUAUUAAAAGAGAAUCUACACUGUGUUCAACAUCACAAGAACGUGGAGAUGCUUUCCCUACAGCAGAGGAUAUUAGGUCACAUGCAAAUGCUAUAUUUGGUCACUGUGGUUUUCAGCACAAGUCCUGGCAUGAAUCCCCCAUGGACACUGAGGGACAGUUGUCUUACUUAAACAUCCCUUCAAACUGCGGUGGUAUUUCCACAAAACUAGUUCAGAAACUGGACCAUGACUCUACAGACAAGUGUCUCCGUCUCCAGGUGUCGAUGGCUGGUGUUUCUGAGCAGCAUGAAAUCACAUCAGGUUCAUUCAUCAAAUCUGACUGACGAAGGCACCAAGGUGCCACGAAGUUAAGUGACCUGAGCCUGUUCACAUAGAAGAUGAGAAAUGGAGCUCUGUCUUACACCCCUAGCUUUCCUUUAGCUUGUAAAACUCAGGCAUUUAUUGCUCACAGUUCUAGACACCAAGAGUUUGAAUCUGGGUGCUGGCAAGAUGUUUUAUACACCCGGUUCCAGGCUCACAGGAGACUCCUCACAUGUUGAUGGAACAAAAUGGCUUCCUUAGAACUCUUCAGGCUUGUUUUUUUCAUGGAUUUCUACUUUAAAUUGAUGCAUAGUAUUUGUCCAUAUUUGUGAAG